UACAGGGGGUGCAAGCGUUGUUCGGAAUUACUGGGCGUAAAGGGUCUGUAGGUGGCUUGCUAAGUCAGACGUGAAAUCCCUCAGCUUAACUGGGGAACUGCGUCUGAUACUGAUGAGCUUGAGUGCAGGAGAGGAACGCGGAAUUCCAGGUGUAGCGGUGAAAUGCGUAGAUAUCUGGAGGAACACCGGUGGCGAAGGCGGCGUUCUGGACUGCAACUGACACUGAGAGACGAAAGCCAGGGGAGCAAACGGG
Molecule: ribosomal RNA, 253 nt
Filed under: uncultured bacterium
Lineage: Bacteria
Description: partial 16S ribosomal RNA
Rfam family: Bacterial small subunit ribosomal RNA
Source: RNAcentral